This 359-nucleotide long non-coding RNA is filed under the name Capsicum annuum. RNAcentral's name for it is "long non-coding RNA (CANN_LNC000749)". Lineage: Eukaryota; Viridiplantae; Streptophyta; Magnoliopsida; Solanales; Solanaceae. The record is from RNAcentral.
UCGAUUUUAUAGACUCCCUUUCCGAUCAUUUAUUUGUUCACCCCCUUUCUCUCUUUCGCAAUUCUACUCUCUUUCUCUCUCGCACAAAUCACUCAUUGUUCCCCUCUAUUCCAUCUCUUCCCUGCAUUUCUAUGUAUAUGUGUGUGAGUGUUAUGUGUAGUUUUUCAUGAAUGUGGAUUUUUUCGAUGAGCUAUGUGUUUUUUCGGUGAGGUGUGAGUUUUGUGGUGAGGUCUGCGCAUCUAUAUGUGUGAUGGUGUCUAUAUGUAAGGUGUGUCUAUAUCCUCUAUGAGACUCCCUUUUGUUGUGUGGGUAUUGUGUGUAUAUAUAUCUAUUGUGAGAGAGGAUUCUCUAUAUGAGAG